GACGAACGCUGGCGGCGUGCUUAACACAUGCAAGUCGAACGCUGAAGCACCAGCUUGCUGGUGUGGAUGAGUGGCGAACGGGUGAGUAAUACGUGAGUAACCUGCCCUUGACUCUGGGAUAAGCCCGGGAAACUGGGUCUAAUACUGGAUGCUACAUGUCACCGCAUGGUGGUGUGUGGAAAGGGUUUACUGGUCUUGGAUGGGCUCACGGCCUAUCAGCUUGUUGGUGAGGUAAUGGCUCACCAAGGCGACGACGGGUAGCCGGCCUGAGAGGGUGACCGGCCGCACUGAGACUGGGACACGGCCCAGACUCCGACGGGCGGCAGCAGUGGGGAAUAUUGCACGAUGGGGGAAAGCCUGAUGCAGCGAAGCCGCGUGGGGGAUGACGGCCUUCGGGUUGUAAACCUCUUUCAGCAGGGAAGAAGCAACGAGUGACGGUACCUGCAGAAGAAGCGCCGGCUAACUACGUG
Molecule: ribosomal RNA, 470 nt
Filed under: uncultured bacterium
Lineage: Bacteria
Description: partial 16S ribosomal RNA
Rfam family: Bacterial small subunit ribosomal RNA
Source: RNAcentral